GGCCCCUUAGCCAAGUGGUAAGGCAGUGGAUUGCAAAUCCGCCAUCCCCGGUUCGAAUCCGGGAGGGGCCU
RNAcentral lists this transfer RNA (71 nucleotides) under Planctomycetia bacterium. Its description in RNAcentral is "tRNA-Cys". It matches the Rfam family "tRNA". Rfam says of the family: Transfer RNA (tRNA) molecules are approximately 80 nucleotides in length. Their secondary structure includes four short double-helical elements and three loops (D, anti-codon, and T loops). The record is from RNAcentral. Lineage: Bacteria; Pseudomonadati; Planctomycetota; Planctomycetia.